This 429-nucleotide ribosomal RNA is filed under the name uncultured archaeon. RNAcentral describes it as "bacterial SSU rRNA". It matches the Rfam family "Archaeal small subunit ribosomal RNA", at positions 474 to 903 of the family's 1478-position model. The record is from RNAcentral.
UACCAGCUCUCCGAGUGGUAGGGAUGUUUAUUGGGCUUAAAGCGUCCGUAGCCGACUUAGCAAGUCUCCUGUUAAAUUCAGCGACCUAAUCGUUGAGCCGCGGGAGAUACUACUAGGCUAGGAGGCGGGAGAGGUCAACGGUACUUCCGGGGUAGGGGUGAAAUCCUAUAAUCCCGGGAGGACCACCAGUGGCGAAGGCUGUUGACUAGAACGCGCUCGACGGUGAGGGACGAAAGCUGGGGGAGCGAACCGGAUUAGAUACCCGGGUAGUCCCAGCUGUAAACGAUGCGAGCUAGGUGUUGGGGUGGCUACGUGCCACUUCAGUGCCGCAGGGAAGCCAUUAAGCUCGCCGCCUGGGGAGUACGGCCGCAAGGCUGAAACUUAAAGGAAUUGGCGGGGGAGCACCACAAGGCGUGAAGCUUGCGGUUC